RNAcentral lists this long non-coding RNA (386 nucleotides) under Malus domestica (apple). RNAcentral describes it as "long non-coding RNA (MDOM_LNC007403)". Lineage: Eukaryota; Viridiplantae; Streptophyta; Magnoliopsida; Rosales; Rosaceae. The record is from RNAcentral.
AGUGGAUAGAGGGGACGUUCUCCGGCGUGGUUGACUCCGGCGGGCCGGUGGCUACCCAGUUGUGCAUGUACUCAAUAACCCCGGAUGAGGAUUUUGUGAUUGAUUUCUUGGGUGGGGAGUUUGGGAAGGAUGUGGUGGUGGGCGGGGGGUUUUCGGGUCACGGGUUCAAGAUGUCGCCGGUGGUGGGGAGGAUUUUGGCUGACCUUGCGCUUACUGGGGAGGCUGAAGGAGUGGAGCUGAAGCAGUUUAGGAUAGCAAGGUUUCAAGAGAAUCCCAAAGGCAAUGCCAAAGACUUUCUGUAAAUGCACGCAACAAACCUCUGCAAAUUUUUUAUAUACAGAAUAAGACAAAGAAGAGUGUGAGGGGUAAUAGUAGGGAAGAGAAUC